GCCCCAGCUUGGUUAGAGCGGUCGGCUCAUAACCGAUUGGUCGCAGGUUCGACCUGCAGGGGCCCCA
Molecule: transfer RNA, 67 nt
Filed under: Thermicanus sp.
Lineage: Bacteria; Bacillati; Bacillota; Bacilli; Thermicanales; Thermicanaceae
Description: tRNA-Ile
Rfam family: tRNA
About the family: Transfer RNA (tRNA) molecules are approximately 80 nucleotides in length. Their secondary structure includes four short double-helical elements and three loops (D, anti-codon, and T loops).
Source: RNAcentral